Molecule: long non-coding RNA, 2123 nt
Organism: Diabrotica virgifera virgifera (western corn rootworm)
Lineage: Eukaryota; Metazoa; Arthropoda; Insecta; Coleoptera; Chrysomelidae
Exons: 2
Source: RefSeq, a predicted model, not a curated record
UUUCUGGACUGAUACAUACAUAAAUUAAAACAUUUUGAAGUAUAACUUCAAAAAUAUAAUAUGAAAACUAUUUAAAAAGGCAGUAUAACUAUUAACUAACCUUUGUUGUUUCUCUUCCCACAAAUUUUAAAACGCAACAACCAUACAUAACCAAACCAUCAACCGUCCAAACCACAGCUGCGCUACAGCUGCCAUAUUGGAUAAUUUUUGACAUGUCAUUUGAACAUCCAAUCAGAACAAAGUUAUAAUGCGCAUGCACCGGGAUCGUAGGUUUUAACAUAUAAAAAUUCACCCUCAUAUCGCGCGUACAGAAGUAUAACUUCAAUAAUAAUAAACACCUACAAAUAAGUCCAACAUGACUUUACCAUGACCUUAAUUUGCCUUAUUGUGUCUUUAAAAAUUUGUUUUUGUCGGAAAUGCGUAAAUAAGCUAUCAUAACUCCAAAUUGCAAAAAGAAAAAAAAAAUCAGUAAAGUAACACAAUAAAAUGCAUCUGGGUCAACACUAAUACCGUGUAGGCCCUCCUCUACGUCUUAUGACUGCAUUAUUAUGCGUCGAGGCAUGCUUGAUAUCAAAUGUUCAACAAAAGCUUGCGGAAUAUUCUCCCAUUCUUCAAUAACGGCCUCAAUGAGUUAGUUGUGAUUGGCAAUAGGGGGUCUACGACUUCGAAUCUUUUUUUUUUGAGAUAGUCCCAUAGAUGCUCUAUAGGAUUUAUGUCCGGACUGUUAGGUGGCCACUCUAAUAAUGGAAUAUCAUCAUCAUUUAGGUAGCCAAUAACCUGUCGAGCCACAUGAGGACGAGCGUUGUCUUGAAUGAAUAAAAAAAUUAGGUCCAAGAAACGGAGCAAAAGGCAUUACAUGUUCGACAACAAUGUUGUCUAAGUAAUAAUGGGCAUUCAUAGACCUCGUACGUAUGGGGACCAACUCCGUGCGAACUUCACAACAAAUUCCCUCCCAAAACAUUUUAGAGCCACCACCAAAAGGUACUUUAGGAGAGAUAUUGCAGCUGGCAAACCUUUCUCCUCGCCUUCGCCAGACACGCUCACGACCAUCUGGAGCUUUUAGGCUUACUCUAGUCUCAUCGGAGGAAAGAACUCGUUUCCAAUAAUCGAUGGUCCAAUUUUGUUGCAAUCUUGCAAAAUUCAAUAUCUGAACCCUGUGUUCUCUGGUAAGCAAGGGUUUUUGGACGGUUUCCUGUUGCUCAAUUCUGCUUCAUGUAAAUGUCUUCUAACUAUUCGAGACGAUAUAGCGACAUUUCGAACAUCUGCUAGUUCAUUUUUUAGCAAAUUGCUGGUGACUCUCCUAUCUCUAAGAGCACAUUGUCUCAAAAAACGAUCAUCAAUUGGAUUAGUGCAACGUUUUCGCCCUUGCCCUGGUUUUCGAUGGUACGACCCUGUUUCAUUAUAUCGCCUCACCUUGCGACUGAUGCUGGAAUGAUGUCUUCCUAACAAACCUGCAACGUAUCGCACUGAAUAUCCUUCAUCUAGGAGAGUCGAUGCUCGCACUGCCUCCUCCAUUGAUAAAUUUCUUUGGCGGUUUAUUUUUUUAUUUGAUUUUUAUACAAAUGAACUUCCAAACAUGCAUGUGAUGAAAAAUAUCACAAUAAAAAGCUUAUUUCUCACAAACUCUUGCUUUAUUCGGCACUUUUUAUGAAAAGUUUAGCUCACUUUUAGUCUAAAACGAAGUUUAAUACAUGCCCCGAGAACUCUAAUAAAAAACAUGUAAUCGUAUUUAUUUUCCUUCCAUUUUGCCAGAGGCGCUGAUGUCGGCAUUGUGAUUGGUGGAACAUGACUUUUGACAAAUCCUGCGUUAUCUGUGAAUCUGUGUUCAGUGUUCGUGUUCGCUCGUUCGUUGUCGUUCAGUUAUUUUCAUGUUAUUUUAUAUGGUCGGUUAUUUGUUGUGUUUGUGUCACCAUAAAAAGCUGAUAUUCAUGCAGUCGUGUUUUUUGAUAUUUUUGUUAUUUUGUAAUCGUGUAUCUUUUUAAAGGUCUAAUGGCUCCGUUCAGCUGUUGUGUGCAGACGGUGGAAAAGUUCAACAAGUAAACAUUUAUUUAAUCCAAAUUAAAUACUCAUAUUUCUAUGUAAAAUGUCACAUUAUUUUAUAAAUAAAUAAGUAAGAAACAAAA